UUUUCCAGAAUUUCCCCCCAGAGUAAAUGACAUAGACACUUUCCCUGCAAUUCAACUACUCUACCUCUUAGUGACGUUCUUUAUUAUUGGAGUAUCCUGGAGGGAAUAUCACAAAAAUGAAAACAUGAAGAAAGAAAAAGUAUAAUGCUAGGCUGCUGCUGCUGCUGCUAAGUCGCUUCAGUCCUGUCCGACUCUGUGCAACCCCAUAGACGGCCUCCUACCAGGCUCCUCUGUCUCUGGGAUUCUCCAGGCAAGAACACUGGAGUGGGUUGCCAUUUCCUUCUCCAAUGCAUGAAAGGGAAAAGUGAAAGUGAAGUUGCUCAGUCGUGUCCGACUCUUAGCGACGCCGUGGACUGCAGCCUACCAGGCUCCUCCAUCCAUGGGAUUUUCCAG
Molecule: long non-coding RNA, 393 nt
Organism: Bos taurus (domestic cattle)
Lineage: Eukaryota; Metazoa; Chordata; Mammalia; Artiodactyla; Bovidae
Source: Ensembl